Molecule: long non-coding RNA, 395 nt
Organism: Corapipo altera (White-ruffed manakin)
Lineage: Eukaryota; Metazoa; Chordata; Aves; Passeriformes; Pipridae
Exons: 4
Source: RefSeq, a predicted model, not a curated record
GUGACCAAUGCUCUUCCUGCCUAACCCUACAGGCCAGUAAUUUCCCUCGACUGUCCUUGGCUGUACAGAAGAAGGACUUGCUAAUGCUGGGUGCCUGCCUGUGCUCUGCGAUGAGAUGCAGCAAAAUCCAGUCCUCAAGCCUCCUUCCUACGAUCAGCAGAAAUCAUCAAUAGAAUUGUUUACGAAAAUCCUAAAAAAGCUGUACAGACCACACCAACAAUGAACCUGGCCGCUGUUGGGAUGUGUGCACUGUGCCAUGAUCCAUGAAGGGGCUCAUCCAGGACUGUGAUAGGGUUACCAGCAUCAGCAGGGAGAUCCCAAAGGAACCUCCUUGGUGCAAAACAAGAUGCUGGGAGAUCCUUCUAUUUUCAGCAUCGCUUUGGUUUUGUGAAAAU